This 66-nucleotide transfer RNA is filed under the name Hemiphyllodactylus yunnanensis (Yunnan dwarf gecko). RNAcentral's name for it is "tRNA-Cys". Lineage: Eukaryota; Metazoa; Chordata; Lepidosauria; Squamata; Gekkonidae. The record is from RNAcentral.
AGCCCAGGGGGUGAUCCACGCCAAACUGCAAAUUUGGAGAAGCUCCCCAGAAGGGAGCCGGGGCUU